AUCCUUUUGUGGUUCAUAAGCAUCAUGAAUGGGUGUUCACACAUUUGUGUGAGAUGUGCCUCCCUCAAACCUUGUUAUGACAUAGGCACAUUAUCUGUCUAACA
Small nucleolar RNA from Dasypus novemcinctus (nine-banded armadillo), 104 nucleotides. NCBI's taxonomy places the organism in Eukaryota, Metazoa, Chordata, Mammalia, Cingulata, Dasypodidae. The record is from Ensembl.